This 301-nucleotide ribosomal RNA is filed under the name uncultured bacterium. RNAcentral describes it as "bacterial SSU rRNA". It matches the Rfam family "Bacterial small subunit ribosomal RNA", at positions 28 to 320 of the family's 1533-position model. The record is from RNAcentral.
GACGAACGCUGGCGGCGCGCCUAAUACAUGCAAGUCGAGCGAGAAGGUGUAGCAAUACACUUGUAAAGCGGCGAACGGGUGAGGAAUACAUGGGUAACCUACCCUCGAGUGGGGAAUAACUAGCCGAAAGGUUAGCUAAUACCGCGUACGCUUCCGGAACUGCGGUUCCGGAAGGAAAGCGAUACUGUGAGUAUCGCGCUCUUGGAUGGGCUCAUGUCCUAUCAGCUUGUUGGUGAGGUAACGGCUCACCAAGGCUUCGACGGGUAGCUGGUCUGAGAGGACGAUCAGCCACACUGGCACU